This 811-nucleotide ribosomal RNA is filed under the name uncultured bacterium. RNAcentral describes it as "bacterial SSU rRNA". It matches the Rfam family "Bacterial small subunit ribosomal RNA", at positions 166 to 975 of the family's 1533-position model. The record is from RNAcentral.
CUAUACGCAUCGACUCUUGGUCUNNGGAUCANGAGAGAAAGCGAUACCGUGGGUAUCGCGCUCUUGGAUGGGCUCAUGUCCUAUCAGCUUGUUGGUGAGGUAAUGGCUCACCAAGGCUUCGACGGGUAGCUGGUCUGAGAGGACGAUCAGCCACACUGGCACUGCGACACGGGCCAGACUCCUACGGGAGGCAGCAGUAAGGAAUAUUGCGCAAUGGGCGACAGCCUGACGCAGCGACGCCGCGUGGGGGAUGAAGGUCUUCGGAUUGUAAACCCCUUUCGGCAGGGAAGAUGGGACGGGCAACCGUUCGGACGGUACCUGCAGAAGCAGCCACGGCUAACUUCGUGCCAGCAGCCGCGGUAAUACGAAGGUGGCAAGCGUUGUUCGGAUUUACUGGGCGUACAGGGAGCGUAGGCGGUUGGGUAAGCCCUUCGUGAAAUCUCCGGGCCUAACCCGGAAAGUGCGGAGGGGACUGCUCGGCUAGAGGAUGGGAGAGGAGCGCGGAAUUCCCGGUGUAGCGGUGAAAUGCGUAGAGAUCGGGAGGAANGCCGGUGGCGAAGGCGGCGCUCUGGAACAUUUCUGACGCUGAGGCUCGAAAGCGUGGGGAGCAAACAGGAUUAGAUACCCUGGUAGUCCACGCCUUAAACGAUGGAUACUAAGUGUCNGCGGCUUACCGCCGGUGCCGCAGCUAACUCCAGUAAGUAUNCCNCCUGGGUAAGUACGGCCGCCAGGUUGAANCUCAANGAAAUUGANNGGGGNCCCCCCANCGGUGGAGCAUGUGGUUUAUUUUUUNGCACNCGAAGAACUNACC